ACGGAUUCAAGUGACAAAACGGAAAUGGUUUCGCCUUGAAAUCCGGAUGUGACGUGUGCACUCGAUAGAUUUAAACUUUUCGACGGUAAGAAGAUGAACGUGUUGGACGCAAUCAGAAAAUGGAACUUCAAGCUGCCGCAUGGAUGCACAGAAUCAACGUGAUGAAGAAACAAACUGCGCAACUCCUACUGCGACCGGGCGAAAAAUUGCGAAAUGGACGACUGACCUGAGAAGUGGUGUAGCUUCAUGAGCUGUAACCUGCUGUUGUGAGAAACCUCAACCAUGAUGAGUUACCUACCCAGGACUGGAACAUCUCUCUAGGAAGUCAUCUAAACAAUGAUGAUGAAGCUUACCAAGGAUGCUAGCAAAAGGCCUGCAGUUCCUGAUUGUGUGUGUGACAGGGGCUGUCAUUGUCCUGGCUACAUGUUCAUCCUGGAGGUAGGUUCCUAGAACUGGACUGAGUCACACCAGAUGCUAUUCCAAGCAUGGCUGCAGCCGUCAGUAGUGGGGUCAGAUUUAGACGUGUGUGUUAGUGAAUGUGCAGGGCUCAAAAUUGCGACCAUUUUGGUUGUAUAUUUUCCCAAAAUUCGGUGCAACCUAAAAGUAUUUGUGUGAACCAUUAUGAACUUUUCAGUGGGUGCUCCAAAAAUGUUACUGCUGCUCCUAAAUUUUUACAUUACACUUUUAAAACUGAGCCUUGUUGUGUUAGUGAACGUGUUAUUAGACAUGUGCAGGCCUGUUCAGCGAGGCCGAGCCUGCAGUGGCUCUGGUCUUUCCUGUAGUGUCUGCUAGAGAGACCUGGGGCCGUUUGAGGCCCUGCUGUGUAUCUCCAUGGCAGGGUUAUAGGUAAACCCCAGACAGGUCACAGCUUGACCAACCCUGUAUUAGACAGAAUUAUAAACAUUGUUAAAUGAGUGCCUUGUUUAAACUGAAUGAAAGUGUCUUUUUUUUCAAGU
Osmerus eperlanus (European smelt) is the source of this 956-nucleotide long non-coding RNA. RefSeq lists it as uncharacterized. The transcript is spliced from 6 exons. The record is from RefSeq and is a predicted model, not a curated record. NCBI's taxonomy places the organism in Eukaryota, Metazoa, Chordata, Actinopteri, Osmeriformes, Osmeridae.